Molecule: non-coding RNA, 1689 nt
Organism: Xyrichtys novacula (pearly razorfish)
Lineage: Eukaryota; Metazoa; Chordata; Actinopteri; Labriformes; Labridae
Source: the annotation of a GenBank genome assembly
CGUCUGGUCUGGGACUGUUUUUGAGGCAGGACUCAUCCACCCAAACAUGGUGGUGCUGCGUCCCUCUGACGGGCUCAUGUUACCGGGUGGAGCAGCAUUCAAAUCCUAACUCUCCUCUCCCUCCCAAUAAGGUAAAACCACGACAUGAGAGUUGUCUGGGGGGGCGGCGGCGGCGGCGGCAGCGGCGUCUGACAUCAGCCCCUGGGAGUGUCCGCUGGUCGAACCUGUGAAACCGGAUCUGCAGAGAUGUGUCUCACCGCGGAGGUGCUGCUGCAGACAACAGGCUGUGGAGGAGGUUCUGAUUCUGCUCCGGUACCGAGCUCGGUCCAAAACAGGUGCUGAGAUAAAUGUGGAUCAGAAACAGAAUCGUCAAUAUAAAAUAUUGAUCUUUGACUUCAGGGUGACGGUGGACUGAUCUGACUCUUCAUGACAGUCUGUUGUGUUUGAUGAUAAACCAGUUUAAAGGAGCUCUCACUGGUUUGACUCCCAGUCCUCAGACUGGACUCUCUGUUUGACUCCAUGAGUCUCGGUGGUUUCUGUGCUUCUUCCCUGAUUUCUGCCUGUCAGGCUUUUGGCUGCUGCAGAAACGUGGGACUGUUUCUUUAGUAAAGAAUAUGACCAGGUCCAGGUCCUGGUCUGGGUCCAGGUCCGGUCCUGGUCUGGGUCCAGGUCCGGUCCGGGUCCGUCCACACGCUGGGUUCAUUCUAAGUUCACCUGAGAGAGACGAACACAGAGGAGAGGAACCAGAACUCACCUGAGAGGGAGACACACAGACAGAGGACUGUGAGUGUGUGUGUGUGUGUGUGUGUGUGUGUGUGUGUGUGUGUGUGUGUGUGUGUGUGUGUGUGUGUGUUUGGGGGGAGAGAAGAGAAAAAAAGAGAGAGAGAGCUGCUCUUUUUCUGGGUAAAAAGGAAAAGAGAUGAAUGACUGAACAUCCCUUUAAGGCGACUCUGCCCCUUUAAUUAAACUCUUAUCUGUGCGCGCACACACACACACACACACACACACACACACACACACACACAGUGCUUAACCCCCCCCCCCUGCUGUGUGGUCACUCUCUGUUUUGCCUCCACUCAGCAGCAGAGACCAAGAGCCCGCUGUUACAGCCAAUCAGAGCCCAGAUUUUGCUCCUGGAGCUCUGUGAUUGGCUGACUGUGCUGAGGAGUUUAACUGAGGAUAUCUGGUCCCUGUUGACUCAGUAACAGACCAGCAGAGACUGGAGUGUGUGUGUGUGUGUGUGUGUGUGUGUGUGUGUGUGUGUGUGUGUGUGUGUGUGUGUGUGUGUUAGUCAUAAAUUGUUGAAUCUGCUGAUUUGCAUAAAGAUCAUAGAUCUUAAUUAAUAUAGAUCACUAACCCUCCUCUUCAGUGAGGUGAAAUCUUAGAGUGUUUAUUAGUCGAUCCAGUCUGUGGGUGAAAUCUGAACCUUGACUUCUGAUUGGCUCGUUUCAUCGAUCACCUUUCCCUGUUUUUGAUUGGUCAGCCUCUUAUCGAUCCUCCGGACUUGAACCUUCAGAGAGAAGAUCUAUGAAGGACCCAUCUCUGGAGUUCACCUGACACGGUCUGUGCAGUGAUCAGAGUCUCCUGAGGGUGAGAACGUCAGUCUGCUGCUGCUGAAGGUUCGAUGAGGACUCUGAGAACAUGAGGAGGCUCUUUAACAGGCUGAAGGACAGAUGAGGUGAAGACCUG